UAAUACUCCAUAGAAUAAGGAAUCUGGAAAGAACAAUAGUCAAAAGUUCCGGCGCAAAAGGAACGGUCUGCGGCCAAUCAGAUCGUAGUGGGUGUAACGAACCUAAUAGCCUAAGACGGGUAUGGGCCUUGAGAGAGGGAGCCCAGAGUUGGAUUCUGAGACACGAAUCCAGGCCAUACGGGGCGCAGCAGUCGCGAAAACUUCACAAUGGGGGCAACCCCGAUGAGGGAAUUCCUAGUGCUAGCACAUUUGUGUUAGCUUUUCUCUAGCGUAGAUAACUAGAGGAAUAAGGGCUGGGAAAGACGGGUGCCAGCCGCCGCGGUAAUACCUGCAGCCCAAGUGAUGGUCGAUUUUAUUGAGUCUAAAACGUUCGUAGCCGGUUCGAUAAAUCUUUGGGUAAAUCGGGGGGCUUAACCUUCCGUCUUCCGAGGAGACUGUCGAACUUGGGACCGGGAGAGGCUAGAGGUACUUCUGGGGUAGGGGUAAAAUCCUGUAAUCCUAGAAGGACCACCGGUGGCGAAGGCGUCUAGCUAGAACGGAUCCGACGGUGAGGGACGAAGCCCUGGGUCGCAAACGGGAUUAGAUACCCCGGUAGUCCAGGGUGUAAACGCUGCAGACUUGGUGU
Molecule: ribosomal RNA, 625 nt
Filed under: uncultured archaeon
Lineage: Archaea
Description: bacterial SSU rRNA
Rfam family: Archaeal small subunit ribosomal RNA
Source: RNAcentral